GAUGAACGCUGGCGGCGUGCUUAACACAUGCAAGUCGAACGAAGCACCUUGAUUUGAUUCUUCGGAUGAAGAUCUUGGUGACUGAGUGGCGGACGGGUGAGUAACGCGUGGGUAACCUGCCUCAUACAGGGGGAUAACAGUUAGAAAUGACUGCUAAUACCGCAUAAGACCACAGCACCGCAUGGUGCAGGGGUAAAAACUCCGGUGGUAUGAGAUGGACCCGCGUCUGAUUAGGUAGUUGGUGGGGUAACGGCCUACCAAGCCGACGAUCAGUAGCCGACCUGAGAGGGUGACCGGCCACAUUGGGACUGAGACACGGCCCAAACUCCUACGGGAGGCAGCAGUGGGGAAUAUUGCACAAUGGGGGAAACCCUGAUGCAGCGACGCCGCGUGAGCGAUGAAGUAUUUCGGUAUGUAAAGCUCUAUCAGCAGGGAAGAAAAUGACGGUACCUGACUAAGAAGCACCGGCUAAAUACGUGCCAGCAGCCGCGGUAAUACGUAUGGUGCAAGCGUUAUCCGGAUUUACUGGGUGUAAAGGGAGCGUAGACGGAGUGGCAAGUCUGAUGUGAAAACCCGGGGCUCAACCCCGGGACUGCAUUGGAAACUGUCAAUCUAGAGUACCGGAGAGGUAAGCGGAAUUCCUAGUGUAGCGGUGAAAUGCGUAGAUAUUAGGAGGAACACCAGUGGCGA
RNAcentral lists this ribosomal RNA (690 nucleotides) under uncultured Lachnospiraceae bacterium. Its description in RNAcentral is "bacterial SSU rRNA". It matches the Rfam family "Bacterial small subunit ribosomal RNA", at positions 28 to 718 of the family's 1533-position model. The record is from RNAcentral. Lineage: Bacteria; Bacillati; Bacillota; Clostridia; Lachnospirales; Lachnospiraceae.